AGAGGCCUUCUGCGGCCAGGGUGGAAGGCUUGCCUCGUUGCCACGGCAACAAAGCAAGCAUCCUGCCAGGCCACUCACGCUGCCCAC
Myotis lucifugus (little brown bat) is the source of this 87-nucleotide non-coding RNA. Lineage: Eukaryota; Metazoa; Chordata; Mammalia; Chiroptera; Vespertilionidae. The record is from Rfam.